This 253-nucleotide ribosomal RNA is filed under the name uncultured bacterium. RNAcentral's name for it is "partial 16S ribosomal RNA". It matches the Rfam family "Bacterial small subunit ribosomal RNA", at positions 524 to 776 of the family's 1533-position model. The record is from RNAcentral.
UACGAAGGGUGCAAGCGUUACUCGGAAUUACUGGGCGUAAAGCGUGCGUAGGCGGUUUGCUAAGACAGGUGUGAAAUCCCCGGGCUUAACCUGGGAACUGCGCUUGUAACUGGCAAGCUUGAGUGUGGCAGAGGGGGGUGGAAUUCCACGUGUAGCAGUGAAAUGCGUAGAGAUGUGGAGGAACACCGAUGGCGAAGGCAGCCACCUGGGCUAACACUGACGCUCAUGCACGAAAGCGUGGGGAGCAAACAGG